AGAGUUUGAUCAUGGCUCAGGAUGAACGCUAGCUACAGGCUUAACACAUGCAAGUCGAGGGGUAACACAAGGUAGCAAUACUGAGGUGACGACCGGCGCACGGGUGAGUAACACGUAUCCAACCUACCAUUUACUCUUGGAUAGCCUUCUGAAAAGGAGAUUAAUACAAGAUAGUAUCAUGAGUUCACAUGUUCACAUGAUUAAAGAAUUUCGGUAAUUGAUGGGGAUGCGUUCCAUUAGAUAGUAGGCGGGGUAACGGCCCACCUAGUCUACGAUGGAUAGGGGUUCUGAGAGGAAGGUCCCCCACACUGGUACUGAGACACGGACCAGACUCCUACGGGAGGCAGCAGUGAGGAAUAUUGGUCAAUGGGCGCAAGCCUGAACCAGCCAAGUAGCGUGAAGGAUGAAGGUUCUAUGGAUUGUAAACUUCUUUUAUAAGGGAAUAAACCCACCUACGUGUAGGUGUCUGUAUGUACCUUAUGAAUAAGGACCGGCUAACUCCGUGCCAGCAGCCGCGGUAAUACGGAGGGUCCGAGCGUUAUCCGGAUUUAUUGGGUUUAAAGGGAGCGUAGAUGGGUUUUUAAGUCAGUUGUGAAAGUUUGCGGCUCAACCGUAAAAUUGCAAUUGAAACUGGAGACCUUGAGUAUAGUUGAGGUGGGCGGAAUUCGUGGUGUAGCGGUGAAAUGCUUAGAUAUCACGAAGAACUCCGAUUGCGAAGGCAGCUCACUAAGCUAUAACUGACAUUGAGGCUCGAAAGUGUGGGUAUCAAACAGGAUUAGAUACCCUGGUAGUCCACACGGUAAACGAUGAAUACUCGCUGUAGGCGAUACACAGUCUGCGGCCAAGCGAAAGCAUUAAGUAUUCCACCUGGGGAGUACGCCGGCAACGGUGAAACUCAAAGGAAUUGACGGGGGCCCGCACAAGCGGAGGAACAUGUGGUUUAAUUCGAUGAUACGCGAGGAACCUUACCCGGGCUUAAAUUAUGCAUGAAUAACUAAGAGAUUAGUUAGCCAGCAAUGGCAUGUAUGAAGGUGCUGCAUGGUUGUCGUCAGCUCGUGCCGUGAGGUGUCGGCUUAAGUGCCAUAACGAGCGCAACCCUUGUCGAUAGUUACUAACAGGUUAUGCUGAGGACUCUAUUGAGACUGCCAUCGUAAGAUGUGAGGAAGGUGGGGAUGACGUCAAAUCAGCACGGCCCUUACGUCCGGGGCUACACACGUGUUACAAUGGGGGGUACAGAAGGCUGCUACACGGCGACGUGAUGCUAAUCUCCAAAACCUCUCUCAGUUCGGAUCGAAGUCUGCAACCCGACUUCGUGAAGCUGGAUUCGCUAGUAAUCGCGCAUCAGCCACGGCGCGGUGAAUACGUUCCCGGGCCUUGUACACACCGCCCGUCAAGCCAUGGAAGCUGGGGGUACCUGAAGUGCGUAACCGCAAGGAGCGCCCUAGGGUAAAACUAGUAACUGGGGCUAAGUCGUAACAAGGUAGCCGUA
This 1489-nucleotide ribosomal RNA is filed under the name Phocaeicola paurosaccharolyticus. RNAcentral's name for it is "bacterial SSU rRNA". It matches the Rfam family "Bacterial small subunit ribosomal RNA". Lineage: Bacteria; Pseudomonadati; Bacteroidota; Bacteroidia; Bacteroidales; Bacteroidaceae. The record is from RNAcentral.